This 1555-nucleotide ribosomal RNA is filed under the name Bdellovibrionales bacterium RIFOXYC2_FULL_39_8. RNAcentral describes it as "bacterial SSU rRNA". It matches the Rfam family "Bacterial small subunit ribosomal RNA". RNAcentral also lists the same sequence under 1 other name. Lineage: Bacteria; Pseudomonadati; Bdellovibrionota; Bdellovibrionia; Bdellovibrionales. The record is from RNAcentral.
UGGAGAGUUUGAUCCUGGCUCAGAACGAACGCUGGCGGCGUGCCUAAUACAUGCAAGUCGAACGAGAAAGCCCUUUCGGGGGUAAGUAUAGUGGCGCACGGGUGAGUAACACGUAGGUGACCUGCCCUUUGAUGUGGAAUAACUCUGAGAAAUUGGAGCUAAUACCGCAUAAGAUUGUAGAAUUUGAAAUUAUACAAUGAAAGAUUGCCUCUGCUUGCAAGCAAUCGUCGAAGGAGGGGCCUGCGGGACAUUAGCUAGUUGGUGGGGUAAAGGCCUACCAAGGCAUCGAUGUCUAGCCGGUUUGAGAGGAUGAUCGGCCACACUGGAACUGAGACACGGUCCAGACUCCUACGGGAGGCAGCAGUAGGGAAUAUUGCGCAAUGGGCGAAAGCCUGACGCAGCAACGCCGCGUGAGUGAGGAAGGCCUUAGGGUUGUAAAGCUCUGUCGGAAUGGAAAAAGGGCGAUGGGUCUAAUAGGCCCAUUGAUUGAUGGUACAUUCAAAGGAAGCACCGGCUAACUUCGUGCCAGCAGCCGCGGUAAUACGAAGGGUGCGAGCGUUGUUCGGAUUUAUUGGGCGUAAAGAGCACGUAGGUGGUCUAGUAAGUCAGGUGUGAAAUCUCGGGGCUCAACUCCGAAACUGCGCCUGAAACUGCGAGACUAGAAUAUUGGAGGGGGAAGAGGAAUUUCGCAUGUAGGGGUAAAAUCCGUAGAUAUGCGAAGGAACACCAGAGGCGAAGGCGUCUUCCUGGCCGAUAAUUGACACUGAGGUGCGAAAGCGUGGGUAGCAAACAGGAUUAGAUACCCUGGUAGUCCACGCCGUAAACGAUGAGAACUAGAUAUUGUGAUGAUUGAUCGUUGCAGUGUCGCAGCUAACGCAUUAAGUUCUCCGCCUGGGGAGUACGGUCGCAAGACUAAAACUCAAAGGAAUUGACGGGGGCCCGCACAAGCGGUGGAUUAUGUGGUUUAAUUCGAAGCAACGCGCAGAACCUUACCUGGGCUUGAACUCCUACGAACCUGUUAGAGAUAAUGGGGUGCCCUUUUUGGGAAUGUAGUGAGAGGUGCUGCAUGGCUGUCGUCAGCUCGUGUCGUGAGAUGUUGGGUUAAGUCUCGCAACGAGCGCAACCCCUAUUUUUAGUUGCCAGCAUUAAGUUGGGCACUCUAAAGAAACUGCCUGGGCAACCAGGAGGAAGGUGGGGAUGACGUCAAGUCCUCAUGGCCCUUAUGUCCAGGGCUACACACGUAAUACAAUGGCGCAUACAGAGGGAAGCGAACCUGCGAGGGGGAGCCAAUCUCAAAAAGUGCGUCUCAGUCCGGAUUGGAGUCUGCAACUCGACUCCAUGAAGUUGGAAUCGCUAGUAAUCGCGGAUCAUCACGCCGCGGUGAAUACGUUCCCGGGCCUUGUACACACCGCCCGUCACACCAUGGGAGUUGGUUUUACCUGAAGUCGUGGCCCUAACCGCAAGGGGGGGAGCGCCUACGGUCGGACUGAUGACUGGGGUGAAGUCGUAACAAGGUAGCCGUAGGGGAACCUGCGGCUGGAUCACCUCCUUUUAA